AAGAAGAUGGGUAUAAAGGCAAAUGCAAUUCCCAGCUCUACAAAAUGAGAAAUCAGAGAGGCUGAAACUCUUGUUCAAAACAUUGGGUAAUGUGAAAGGAAAAAUCUGUUCUUCGAAAGAGCCCCAAACUUUGGGUAGCCUGCAUGAGUGAGCAAGGACUAAGAACUAAGGACACAGAAAUCCCCCUCAACUGCUCAUCCUGAGAGUCUGGAACCAACUGAGCACAAAAAGAUCUCCAAUGAAACCACCCUGAUUGUGCGGUCUGCUGUCCACAUCCCCUGCCCUACCAAGUCCUACGGUCCUCCUUACUCUCCCUAAAACAGGUGCCUGUUUGAUUUUGAGACACUUGCAGAUUGAUGUGUUCUCCUUAUUGUGAUAGUGUUUUCUAAUAUGUCUCUCUUCACUUUGGUCUAGAUUUCUUUUCACUUGACAUCACCCUACUCACAUACACACACACACACCCCUUUUAACUGAAGAGUUUAUUCAACAUGUUUAUUAUGUGUCCUGUGAAGUGUUAGAUGAAGUAUGAGAAGAUGUCACCAAGUAAUUUAUUUUUUUUUAGAAAAUACACACACGAAGCAUUAAAGGAGGCAGUCCAGAAUGGUUAAUAAUGACUUUCCAGAAGACUUUGGACUUGUAGUCAGCCAGUAGAGAAUGUACAACUUGGCUAUUUUGGUAAAGAAAUGGGACUGUGAUUGAGCCAGAGCCCCAAAAUAAUGUCUGAAAAUGAACAAACAAACAAAAUGUGGAGCUUCUUCUGAGAGGAAUAAAGGAGUACAGCAUCCAUAUUUAAUAGAUUGGCGCCU
This is a long non-coding RNA of Canis lupus familiaris (dog), 806 nucleotides long. RefSeq lists it as uncharacterized. The transcript is spliced from 3 exons. NCBI's taxonomy places the organism in Eukaryota, Metazoa, Chordata, Mammalia, Carnivora, Canidae. The record is from RefSeq and is a predicted model, not a curated record.